This 72-nucleotide transfer RNA is filed under the name Urocitellus parryii (Arctic ground squirrel). RNAcentral describes it as "Spermophilus parryii (Arctic ground squirrel) tRNA". It matches the Rfam family "tRNA". From Rfam's summary of the family: Transfer RNA (tRNA) molecules are approximately 80 nucleotides in length. Their secondary structure includes four short double-helical elements and three loops (D, anti-codon, and T loops). Further hydrogen bonds mediate the characteristic L-shaped molecular structure. tRNAs have two regions of fundamental functional importance: the anti-codon, which is responsible for specific mRNA codon recognition, and the 3' end, to which the tRNAs corresponding amino acid is attached (by aminoacyl-tRNA synthetases). tRNAs cope with the degeneracy of the genetic code in two manners: having more than one tRNA (with a specific anti-codon) for a particular amino acid; and 'wobble' base-pairing, i.e. permitting non-standard base-pairing at the 3rd anti-codon position. The record is from Rfam by way of RNAcentral. Lineage: Eukaryota; Metazoa; Chordata; Mammalia; Rodentia; Sciuridae. RNAcentral also lists the same sequence under 1 other name.
UGGGUUGUGGCUCAGUGGAAGAGUGCUUGCCUAGCAUGUGUGAGGUACUGAGUUCGAUUCUCAGCACCGUAU